AAAAUUAAGGAAUACAAUUCGAGAGACAAUUUUCUGUAAACUGAAAGAUUACAGUAACAUAGUCAAAAGAAAUUAUAACAUGUCUUUAUUAGUAGUUACGUUAAAAAUUUGCAUUAGAUUAAGAAUCCUAUUCCUUCAAGUUGUAUUGAUGUCCCACAAGCAUAUUUGGUAGUCAUUUGAAUCAUUCAAUUGAUCAUCCUGCUUUAAUUCAAUCCAUGAUAAAACAUAGCCUUUUGUAUAGUGACCUCUCAACCUCAAAUGAGGAUUGCAAGCACCAUUUAAAGGAGGCUUCAAUGGAUGUUAGCUAUAAUCAGAAACAUAAACUUUAGUACUAACUAUCUUGGUGUCAAUAAAUCAAGCAAAAACUGCAUCCGAUCCCCCACCCCAAAAUAAAAUAUAAUUAUAAAAAUGUGUGUGUGUACUUUAUCCAGUUUAAGAAAUACGUAUAGUAGUCCCCACAUAUCCAUAGGUUGAGCAUGACCAGUAGCAAUGACAGAAUUGAAAUGAGUACCCCACAAAUGAUAUCUCCUACAUGAUGAAAGAUCUUAUUUAGAAGUAACUAAUAUGCAAAGACAACUUAUUUUAAUGCUUGUGAAACUUCUUCAAUUAUGAAUCUUGAAGAAAAAGGCAGCAAAAGGAAAAUACAAAUGUCAUUGGCAAAGAACUUUUAAAAUAGCCUCAUUGCUAAGUUCCAUAAUAUGUAAGCAUAUUUAUCAUUUUUAUACAUAACAAACAAAUAAAUAACUAUUUCUUUGAAAAAUAUUAUAGUUUGUGACAGGAGAUGUAUAGCAAAAAAAAUCUUGAAAAGGAGGAUAAAACUUUCAAAAGUGGUGGCCUUCAAUAUUUUAGUUUUGAAGGCCUAUGAGUAUAUAUAUUCAAGUUUAAUGUGAAAGUUCAGGGAACAUUCUACCACCAUUUGGAAAUUCACGAAGAACGUUAUUCUACACCAAAUUCAAGUUUUAGAUAUUACCAAGUUUACAUUCCAAUCAUUUUAUUAUUCGACAUCACUGCGGAAUUGAUUAAUCAAAGCAACACGUCACUUUAAUUAAUUGUCUAGGUGCUUAAAUAUACAGUCCAAUUAAUUCCUAUGUUGAGCUGUCGAUUUGCAUAAACUAAAUAGAAUAAUACAAAACACCACACGAUAUGAUGACGGAGAAACCCCAACGUGGGUAGAACUCCGGGACUAAGCCAGUAAGUUCCACUAUACCAAUUCAGCCAGUACAAGUUCUGCCAAACUCCGUACCCAGUCAGACCCGCUGUUCCAAUCUCACGAUCUACUGCCGUAGAUACUACUAGUCUCUCGCUAGCUUCCCGAUCUACCUCUUGCAGCUUAAUCUAUUGUCCAAUACAACCUCCUGGUCUUUAGCCGAUUGUAUCACCAAGUGGAAUUCCAAAACCUUAUGUUCUUGUCCAGUUCCUGCGCUUGUCGGCCACCUCCCACAGUCCCCCUUUGCGAGAGUCCCUUCCUCAACAGAUGAAGAAGUAUCGGUGUUUUGUCUUCACAAACUUGAUAUUUUCCCCCAAAAUAUUGGUUGCCAGAUCACAAGAAUAAGAUUGAUAAAUUCUCCAGUUGGUUGUGUUCUUGGAUCUCUUCACAAUGAUAUGAAUGUGCUCUAAUAUGAAAGCAUAAUAAAGCAACCCAUUAUUUUCGUUCACGGCCUUUGUAUUUAUAGUUGGGGGCAACUUGGAGUCCUAGGCCAUGUCAAACUUUCCAGAAAUCGAAAAUAUGACUUUUCAUAUAACACUGUCGCUCAAACAAAAAGCGAGCGACGAGCGAAGUACAUUCUGCUUUUCUCGCUCGAGAAGCGGCAGGGCAAACAGCUAGCGAACUUCUGGCGUCGCGACCUUGAUUUGAACCAAACACUCAAACCCUAGUCCCUACCAUCUAGUUUCGCUAAAUUGCACCCGAAGUCCCUAACUUUUAUAACAUUGUACCAUUGAGUCCAUGACUUUUACAAAUUUACAAUUUAGUCCUUUUGUCCACAGAAUCGCCAAUUACACCUUUAGACCUAACAUAAUGAAACCAAAAGCGGAAAACUGUGCAAAAGAAGAAAGGCUAAAAUUUUUAUCAAUGUAAUCUUGUUA
This 2085-nucleotide long non-coding RNA is filed under the name Olea europaea subsp. europaea. The record is from RNAcentral. Lineage: Eukaryota; Viridiplantae; Streptophyta; Magnoliopsida; Lamiales; Oleaceae.